This 264-nucleotide ribosomal RNA is filed under the name uncultured prokaryote. RNAcentral describes it as "partial 16S ribosomal RNA". It matches the Rfam family "Bacterial small subunit ribosomal RNA", at positions 524 to 788 of the family's 1533-position model. The record is from RNAcentral.
AACGUAGGGGCUAGCGUUGUCCGGAAUUACUGGGCGUAAAGCGCACGCAGGCGGUCUGGAAAGCGGUGGGUGCAAUCUCGAGGCUCAACCUCGAAACUGCUCGCCGAACUACCAGACUUGAUCACGGGAGAGGACAGUGGAAUUCCCGGUGUAGCGGUGGAAUGCGUAAAUAUCAGGAGGAACACCGAUGGCGAAGGCAGGUCUCUGGGCUGUUACUGACGCUGAGGAGCGAAAGCAUGGGGAGCGAACAGGAUUAGAUACCCU